Molecule: long non-coding RNA, 1160 nt
Organism: Paramacrobiotus metropolitanus
Lineage: Eukaryota; Metazoa; Tardigrada; Eutardigrada; Parachela; Macrobiotidae
Exons: 4
Source: RefSeq, a predicted model, not a curated record
GCCGAUUAGGGAAAGCUUUUACCGGGUCCUCGUGGCCCCUGCUUGAUACACGGCCGGGCAUCGCAAACGUUACGCAGCCGUUCGAACUGUAAUCAUAAUUAUUACUGUAUUGGAACAUAAUUGUUCCCGCCAUACUGUUAUUAGUAAAGGAAAUAUCUGCGUGCGUGUCGCUUUUCUUGCUCACCUUGCACAUAGCGACAUAGCGGCUGGAUGUCCGCCAUCCCGUUAUUUGCGCAACCCGCAUGAGAAAUCCCCAUCCUCUUCCAAGCGUGGCACCAUGUGAAAUACCCAUCCUCCCGGCCCCCAAAGAGUAGGGACAAGGUAACUGGAGAAGCUCCCGGAAGUCAGUCUGACGGAGCUGGAAGAGACCCCCCUCCCGGAUUCACCGCCCCGCCCCACACCCCCCACUCCCGCGCCACACCAACCCGGCCUCCCAGCGCCACCGCCCAACGGCCCUGCGCACCCACAGCAACCGCCUGUCAUUCCCCGGUGACGCACCCGUUGAUGCGGCAGACGGACGUCGGCGAUGGAGUCCGAUGGGCAGUCCGGUGAGCUACGACGGCGCGUCGACCUCCGGGGGCCGUCGGGAGACGCCGGGACGCCGGCUGUCCUUCAUCGAGGGCACCUCCGUGAUGGAGAGCAUCAACCAUCUGGCCUAUCCCAGCCAGAUGCUCGUGCAGGAGGACGACGGACUGCCGCCGGUCAGUCGGCGCGCCAAGGAAAAGCUGCGCUUCAAGCGCCAUCCGUGGAAGUGGAUCAAGAGCAAAUUCUAAACGAUCUUUCAAGGAAUUUUCACAAUAUUAUUUAUGGAUAAAUUCGCCCGGUGACGGAUUAGUUUUGGGGAGGUGUAUUUGUUUUUGAUUAUUCUUUGUGGAGUUUGGAGGCGGCUGCUCACUUGAUUCAUUUACCGGUAGCUCAAAUCUGCAAUGCUUAUCUUUGUUCAGCCGGCGUCUAAUGAUGCCGGUGCCCUUUUUCCAUUUUUUUAAGCGUGCGACUGGUUUUGAUCCCAAGCGAUAGAUAUUCUGACGGCGAUGAUAAUCAUUACUAUUGUCGUAUUAACCAACAGUACCUUGCUCGAUGUAUUGCACGUAUAACGUUUAAUAAGGAACGUCACGAUUACAUAAUUGCGUGUCCGAACGUGUGCUAUUAAAAGCAGCAGU